CCGCCCGUCAAACCAUGGGAGCUGGUAAUGCCCGAAGUCGGUUUAUUAACAAACUGCCUAAGGCAGGACUGGUGACUGGGGUUAAGUCGUAACAAGGUAUCCCUACGAGAACGUGGGGAUGGAUUACCUCCUUUCUACGGAGUACAAAAUCGAUUAAUAUCGAUAUUAACCUUAAUAUAGACCUAUUUUCAUAAAUUGUCAUGGCUUAUUAGGUCAAUAGCAAUAUAUCUAGUUUUGAGAGAACAACCCUCAAUAUGUUCUUUGAAAACUGAAUAGUAAAUAUUUUAAAAUAUUACAACGACAUCAAAUAAUAAAUUAAUUUGGUUAAUUUGUUUUGAUUCAUCGAGUAGUUAUUUAAUAUAACUCAUUGAAAUGUCUUAAAAUACACAUCAUAACAACAAUAGGAAAUCUUAAUUAAUUCAAUUAAGAACAUACUUUUAAAUAAGUAAGAGUUUGUGGUGGAUGCCUUGGGUCUGGAAGUCGAUGAAGGACGUGAUUACCUGCGAUAAGCCUCGUGGAGCUGGAUAUAAGCUACGAAACGGGGAUUUCCGAAUGGGGAAACCUAGCUAGGGUAAUGCCUAGUUGCCUUCUUCUGAAUACAUAGGAAGUCGAGCGAGAUACCAUGUGAACUGAAACAUCUUAGUAGCAUGAGGAAAAGAAAAUAAAAAAUGAUUUCUUUAGUAGCGGCGAGCGAACGAGAAAAAGCCCAAACCAUUUUAUAAUGGGGUUGUAGGACAGUCUACAUAGAGUUACAAAAUUAAAUGAUAGCAGAAGCAUUUGGGAAAAUGCGUCAUAGAAGGUGAUAACCCUGUAUGCGAAAUUAUUUAAUCUCUUGACUGUAUCCUGAGUAGGGCGGGGCACGUGAAACCCUGUCUGAAUCUACCGGGACCAUCCGGUAAGGCUAAAUACUAACCAGACACCGAUAGUGAACAA
Molecule: small RNA, 933 nt
Filed under: Mycoplasmopsis phocirhinis
Lineage: Bacteria; Bacillati; Mycoplasmatota; Mycoplasmoidales; Metamycoplasmataceae
Description: bacterial LSU rRNA
Rfam family: Bacterial large subunit ribosomal RNA (bases 436-933)
Source: RNAcentral